This 924-nucleotide long non-coding RNA is filed under the name Helianthus annuus (common sunflower). RNAcentral's name for it is "hypothetical non coding rna". Lineage: Eukaryota; Viridiplantae; Streptophyta; Magnoliopsida; Asterales; Asteraceae. The record is from RNAcentral.
UUAAAUCACAUACAAGUUACAACAAAACAUACCGAAAAUGACUUGUGUGGUUGCAAGGUAAAAAAGCCGCUUGACCACAUUUGUUUUUCCAGAAAAAGGUGGUACAAACAAGUGGUUUUUUUUUUUUAACGAUGAACUAAUAAUCCUCUAAAUGGGGUACUGUCGAAAUUCACCACAUCGGGAUACACUCACCUCCGAACUGGAGAAAACCCUCACCUAGGGCUGAAGCGCGUGAACACUCGCCCGAAGGCACGACAGUGCGGUGAGGUAAAACCCGCUCAGUUCAAGGAUUGAACUAGCGAUAUCCGCCUACUCACCUAGUCUCCCAUCAUCAUUAGGUGCCACAAAAAAUAAUAAGGAGAGCAAGAAUUAAACUUGGGUCCUUUAGAACACCAAGUACAACCCACAAAGAUUCAAGCGUCGUGGCACAUUUGAAGCAGGCACGACCAUUACUAGCACCAGACGCGCAAAAACCUUAAAAUCAGAUUAUUUUAAGAUAUGACGUUUGUUUUUGCGAUGUGUCAACCGGAGACAACAACCAGACGGCUAAAGGUCAUAUACAAUAAUCAAUCAAUCUUAGUUAUCUUUGGAUUGAUGUAGUUACAUCAAUCACUUUUUGGCUUCAAUCCCAACAGGUAACUGAUGUGUUGGUUUUGCAAGUUAAACAGGUGUUAAACGAGGCCUACUGGCCUAGAAUGAAGUACAUAAGUAUACGAAGAGGUUGGAGGGCUUAAAACAAGUGAUUCCCUCCGCGACGCGUGGGUGGGAGAAAAAACGGCCGCCUCUUGAUGUUGUUUCGCGCCACACGGGGGCGACGCACGUGAGCGGGGAAAUGGCCCCUUUUGAUAUGUAAAUUUUCAUACUUAUCAUCCAUUUUUCAAAUUAGCCAUCUAUUUAAGUAUAUGUAUAUCUUCAUACUUGGUG